GACGAACGCUGGCGGCGUGCUUAACACAUGCAAGUCGAACGGAAAGGCCCUUCGGGGUACUCGAGUGGCGAACGGGUGAGUAACACGUGGGUGAUCUGCCCUGCACUUUGGGAUAAGCCUGGGAAACUGGGUCUAAUACCGAAUAGGACCACGCGCUUCAUGGUGUGUGGUGGAAAGCUUUUGCGGUGUGGGAUGGGCCCGCGGCCUAUCAGCUUGUUGGUGGGGUAAUGGCCUACCAAGGCGACGACGGGUAGCCGGCCUGAGAGGGUGACCGGCCACACUGGGACUGAGAUACGGCCCAGACUCCUACGGGGGGCAGCAGUGGGGAAUAUUGCACAAUGGGCGCAAGCCUGAUGCAGCGACGCCGCGUGAGGGAUGACGGCCUUCGGGUUGUAAACCUCUUUCAAUAGGGACGAAGCGCAAGUGACGGUACCUAUAGAAGAAGCACCGGCCAACUACGUG
RNAcentral lists this ribosomal RNA (462 nucleotides) under uncultured bacterium. RNAcentral describes it as "partial 16S ribosomal RNA". It matches the Rfam family "Bacterial small subunit ribosomal RNA", at positions 28 to 507 of the family's 1533-position model. The record is from RNAcentral.